Long non-coding RNA from Tupaia belangeri chinensis (Chinese tree shrew), 521 nucleotides. RefSeq lists it as uncharacterized. Lineage: Eukaryota; Metazoa; Chordata; Mammalia; Scandentia; Tupaiidae. The transcript is spliced from 3 exons. The record is from RefSeq and is a predicted model, not a curated record.
UGCUGGACUAAUGAUUCACCCUGCAGUCUGUGUCUCCGGUCUCCACUGCCUGGUUCCAGGAUUCAGCCCUUCGUGACACAGUCGCGUCCUCCCGAGCACUUGGAGGAGCCUGCCUUGCACAGAGCGCGGUGUCUGGGGCUGGAAUCCUGUGAGAGCAGCCCUGCCCGCCGCUGUCUGUCGCCUGGGCAGAAGUCAGCAGACCUGGGCAGAUGCUUCGGAGACCUGGCCUUUCCUCGUGUCAUUGCUGGGGCGUGGCUAAAACACGUCCUCUGUCCUGCCUGCAAAGUCUGAAUUCCCCGCAGACUCCGAAUCGUGUUUGGUGCAAUAAGGUGGAUGUUGGAAGAGCAGCACUGUGACAUGGGGCUUCGCCAGGGCCGCGGAGAACCACUCCUUGUCUGGACAGCCAGCUUGCCUUCGAGGGGAAUUAGACAAUGAAAUCGCCUGCACCUAGGCCCUGCUCUAACCCCUUUAUUGUUCUUCGAGACACUUUCUCUUUGCAUUUUCAAUAUCCAAAUGCCAUC